RNAcentral lists this ribosomal RNA (279 nucleotides) under uncultured bacterium. Its description in RNAcentral is "partial 16S ribosomal RNA". It matches the Rfam family "Bacterial small subunit ribosomal RNA", at positions 506 to 784 of the family's 1533-position model. The record is from RNAcentral.
UGCCAGCCGCCGCGGUAAUACGGAGGGUCCAAGCGUUAAUCGGAAUUACUGGGCGUAAAGCGCUCGUAGGCGGUUUGUUAAGUCGGAUGUGAAAGCCCCGGGCUCAACCUGGGAACUGCAUUCGAUACUGGCAAACUAGAGUAUAGAAGAGGCAAGUGGAAUUCCGGGUGUAGCGGUGAAAUGCGUAGAUACCCAGGAGAACGCCGGUGGCGAAAGCGGAUCUCUGGAGUGUUCCUGACGCUGAGGGGCGAAAGCUAGGGGAGCGAACGGGAUUAGAUA